UGUAUGAGACUGCAUAAAUGGCUCACCUCACCUGACCCAACGUUUAAGCUUUUGGUAGAACCAUGGGCAAUCCUAUUUCUUGGUUAUGUUUUCUCAAACUAAAUCAGCUUAUUUUCUUUUAUUAACACCUGUUCUGCUAGUCCCGUGUGCAAUCAUGGUUUCCAUUUCCACCCAUUAAAAUUGCCCAAGAAUGACAAGAGUGUUGGGCAAUCGAAAUUUUCUCCACCGUUCAGUGAGUUCUCAAACCCCAAAUAAAGGUGAUAGAUCGAUGCAGUUGAUCUAAAGAGCAAGCACAAGUGAAAGCUUAAGAUAGCGAAUUUGUUCAACCAAGUGUUAGAGAUCUGUUGAGGUCUUUGAAGAUAAUUGUGAAUGUGAAGCUAAAAGUCACUGCACCAUUGCAAACACGGAUGAUAUAUACAAGUGAAGAAGUAUGAUACUUGUGAAAUUGUCGCGGUGAAGAUGGCAAGACUUCGUGUAUUGCGAUUUGUUAAGGAUUUUCCUUAUUUCCUUUGGUUCAGUGCUAUCUUACAAACAAUCUUUGAUUGUGUCUGAUUCACGAUGCAUAAGCGAAUUUAUUUUUACAAGUAUUAUGCACGAAUAAUUGUUAUUUUGAUUGACUUCAACUACUUAUUAGAUUUUUAAACAACAGAAAUUAAAUUGUACUAUUUUAUGAUUUUUACUCAUUCUCUCACAUGUUGUGGGAGAGAAGUUUGCAUUUUGCAAUUCUUGCAAUUUUUUUUUGUUUUUUGUUAUAUGUAGGUGGAGGGUCUUAGGAGAUCGGUGAAUUUUAAGAUUUUGGGAUAGUUUCACUUUUGCACAUGAAGAUAAUUUUAAGAUAGUUUUUGCCUUACCUUUUGCACUUGAAUUUGAUUUCAGCUUUGGAAUUUCAAUCAUGGACACAUUUUUGAGGCAUAUAAAGACAAUCUCAAGACAACUGUGUGGGAAUAUUAAAAUCAUUACACCAUUUCAGAUACGGAUG
Non-coding RNA from Cajanus cajan (pigeon pea), 979 nucleotides. NCBI's taxonomy places the organism in Eukaryota, Viridiplantae, Streptophyta, Magnoliopsida, Fabales, Fabaceae. The record is from RefSeq and is a predicted model, not a curated record.